GUGUCAGCCGCCGCGGUAAGACGAACCGUGCGAACGUUGUUCGGAAUCACUGGGCUUAAAGGGCGCGUAGGCGGGCGAUCAAGUCCGGGGUGAAAGCUUUCGGCUCAACCGGAAAAGGGCCUUGGAUACUGAUCGUCUGGAGGGAGGUAGGGGCCCGUGGAACUUCCGGUGGAGCGGUGAAAUGCGUUGAUAUCGGAAGGAACGCCGGUGGCGAAAGCGACGGGCUGGAUCUCUACUGACGCUGAGGCGCGAAAGCCAGGGGAGCAAACGGGAUUAGAAACCCCCGUAGUCC
RNAcentral lists this ribosomal RNA (292 nucleotides) under uncultured bacterium. RNAcentral describes it as "partial 16S ribosomal RNA". It matches the Rfam family "Bacterial small subunit ribosomal RNA", at positions 505 to 796 of the family's 1533-position model. The record is from RNAcentral.